Molecule: long non-coding RNA, 3187 nt
Organism: Daphnia magna
Lineage: Eukaryota; Metazoa; Arthropoda; Branchiopoda; Diplostraca; Daphniidae
Exons: 4
Source: RefSeq, a predicted model, not a curated record
GGAUGGGGAGGAACAAAAUAAAGAAGAAAAAAGUAAAUGGUAGCCUGGUGCUCAGCGUGAAGCUGAGCGGGAGGCAGAGUUGGGGUCGGUCUGGGAGAAGAACCAUUAUCAUGGUGGGACAAUUUUGUCCCCAUUUUCCGCAGCCUAAUCUAACAGAGAGGUCGAAAAGUGGAUAGAAGAUGGUAGGAUAUAGUUUCAGGUCAAUGGUGUGUAUACGGCAUUCCAAUUUGCACAGUGGAAGAAGAAAAGAAGGCGGGCAAGGGUUGCUCUGUAUAUAUAAAAAAGGAGAAAAAGAGAAAAGAACUGAAACCUCCCUUCAGACUAAUGACUGUUAUGUGCCCCCAACAGACUGGCAGUGGUGCCCCGACUAAGGAGGGGGGCCCACACACAAGCAUUCGCCGACACUUCUUUUUGCUUUAGCUCAUGCUGUGACCUCUCUAUAUGCUGCAUGUUCUUAAUAGACACAUUUUCGACCAAAGCCUACUGAUGCUAUCCCCUUCUGUACAUUUUUACCUACGUAGGCUAUAUCCUUUUUUUCCCUUCUUUAUCUCCUAUGGCUCUGUAUAGGCUGUAUAGCUGUACGUAUAUCUAGAUACGGCUCAACUUCACAUAUUUCCCUACCCCGUCUGCAAGUAGUGGUGGGCCAAUUAACCAUGAAAUGAGUAAAUGACCCUAAUGUCAGAUCUCUUCAUUAUUUUCUUGUCCACUCCAGGACACCGACUCGACCUGCAGCGGUAGCUUCUCAUUUAUUUUCUUUCAUCAUUGUCAAGUGUUUGACGUUUUAACAUGUGCAAAAAUGUACACAGCUGACGCAGGGUAUACAACCAAGUCUAAACAAGCCUAAAGUUGUCUGCAAACAGCCAAGGUUUUCGUUGUGCUGCUAUUUCUCACAUCACCUCUUGCCUGCAGUGUGAAAGAAUUAUUUUAAGCGUUUUUUUUUUUUCGUAGUCUCUGGUGGCAGAAUUAAUGGAAUCCUAUCACAAAUUUGUGAUUUACCUGUCGUUUGCCAAUGGUUAAUCACGUUAUUAAAAUUAGUUUAUUGAAAGUAACGAUUUUUUUUUUCCUGGAAGAAAAUGGAAUGCACCUACACUUGGUUCGGGACUGAACGUUUUCCGUAACAGAAUAUAAUAAAGCUUUUCACUUGUGAAAAUCUCUGGCAUUAAAAGAACAUUCCACUAUGGCAUGAAUGACCAUAUAGCCAAUGGUUUAUCUAUGAGACGUGUUUCGUAAGUUUAUUUAUGGUUGUCUAAUAUUUUCUGUGCGGCAGUACAAGCAAAAAAAUAAAAGUAAAGAAGAAGAAAAAAUGGGCAGUAGGAUAAGCCUCUUGCAAACGCAUUAUUUGUGAACCGAUUCAUGAACGGCGUGGAGAUGACCCUUGAGGGAAGUAUGCCAACCAGGUCCAAAACCAGGUGCUCUUUCAACACGAGAAAGGUCCUUUUUUCGCUUGCUUCUUUAUUGAUGCACAACAGAGGACAGUUGGCCUGGUGUGUGUCAUUUUAGGCUGGCGGAAGAUGGACGGAACGAGGGCGACGAGUCUGUGGAACAGUGGCGAUGUUUGGAAAAGUGCUUUCAUUUCAGCAAUUGCCUGAGCUCGGCUUUCUUCUACCAGUUUUUCGAAAAUCUUCUUUUUGAGUUUGAAAAACCGCCGCUCUGCUAUCGUCUGGAAAUCGACAUUUCGAUAGAUCGGGGCAGACGACAGGUACACCCCUUUUUACCCCAUAAGUCCGAUAAGCUUCUUUCUUGUUCUUGUUCUUUUUUUUUUUUAAGGGUAUAAUAGUAUGUGAUACCACCCUGGGUUUUGGCAAAACUCCCAGUUUCUAAAUAUUUCUUCUUCACCUUUUUUUUUCGGGAUGGAUUUCUAAAAUUCUUUUUACCCUUUCUGCAUUUUCCAUGAUCGGCUAAAGGUUUUAUGGGAAAUCAUGUUUGCUAUGCUGCACCGAUUUUUGCUAUGUGUGUAUAUUUAAAUAAAAGCAAAUUCAUGGCGAAACCAGGAGAAAUAAGAUAAACAAAAAACGAUCUCAAUUAAAAGAAAUUUGUUUUAUCGUUUCUUUUUGGUGUUCACCUCGAAUUGGUCUGUCACAAGGUAUGUGUGUAUAAUGUGCGAUGCCUUCAAGAUGAAUCCUGUUCAUUAUCAAUAUUGGCUGUCUUCAUUGAGGAAACCGAAAAUUCAAGUUUUCAUAACUCUAUGAGACAUCUGCAAAUUAAGUUAAUAACCUUUUUAUGCAACAGAGAAUUACGUUACACAUUUUUGUUGACUGUUUGAUAAACGAUUACUGUAUUGUUUUUGCUCAUAAUUAAGACCCUGUUCCACACUUCCUUCUAGCAAUGCGACGUAUAGAUAGAAAGACAUGAUUUUUAGGUUUCCUUAAUUGCUGAGCAACCAUUAGUGGAGAGUGGCACCUGACAUUGGUCAAGUGACUUGGCGGAAAAAAGGCACAGUUGAUAUCGCACCAUUAUGCUAUGAUGAAGGAAUAAUAUUUUCCUUGUAUUAAUUUAGCUGCAUAAAACGCCUAUUUUAUUUGUGCAGUCGGUCAUGAAAAAACUGCUCACCACCCACAGCUGUUGUUUAUGCCCUGUGCCACAGUUUAAAUCGGUGUCUUUUGCAUAAUAUCACCCCUUGUUGCAGAUCACGUUGAUCUUUUUCCAGAACCUACAAGGAGAAUAUUUAAGAAAUCACAUGCAUUUGGUCUUUUUCAAUUAGAGCAGUUUUAGCUCGUAAAAAGAAAAAUCCGGGAAUUUUAACGGCGCUUGUAGAGGCUUUAGAGAACAACUGGUUAAGGCUGCCUAAAGCCCAUAAACGUAUUGUAUGUACCCUCAUCUGAAAAGAAAGAAAAAAAAACUCGACCACUCCUUCUAAGGUUCGUUCCCCUAUAUUCAUAGGCUAUAUGUGUAUAGCCACCGUCCCCUAAUCUUAGCUACCACCCGCUGUUGUACCUUCCUACUCAUUUUUCGUCGACCGUCACGGAUUAUAUUUCCUACUUUCAUUAGACAUAUUGGAACUUUCCCCCCUUAAAAUAUAUGCUAAUUAUCCUGAUCUGUUGGAACUAGACAUUUUGAGCUGCUCGACAUAUAUACAGGCUCGCACUGACAAACAAUUAUCUGCCAUCUUCCACAUUAUAAAACCUUAACCGCCAUUGGCUGCCAACACAUUUGCCUGUGUUGGCAAGUUGCCGCUCAGCUUUGUACU